CCCUUCGUGGUGUAAUGGUCAGCACGCUCGGCGCGUAUCCGAGAGGUCAGAGGUUCGAGUUCCUGUGAGGGCA
This 73-nucleotide transfer RNA is filed under the name Stegodyphus mimosarum. It matches the Rfam family "tRNA". From Rfam's summary of the family: Transfer RNA (tRNA) molecules are approximately 80 nucleotides in length. Their secondary structure includes four short double-helical elements and three loops (D, anti-codon, and T loops). The record is from Rfam by way of RNAcentral. Lineage: Eukaryota; Metazoa; Arthropoda; Arachnida; Araneae; Eresidae.